Solea solea (common sole) is the source of this 849-nucleotide long non-coding RNA. RefSeq lists it as uncharacterized. The record is from RefSeq and is a predicted model, not a curated record. Lineage: Eukaryota; Metazoa; Chordata; Actinopteri; Pleuronectiformes; Soleidae. The transcript has 3 exons.
CAGCUGUAGUUCAAAGGAAUGCGUCGAGGCAUCCUUGCCAAAUCUCCACUUCACCAAUCAACAUGACCAUCUUACUACAGACCCUCUGAUGGACUUGCGGUGUGUCCAGGGUGUCCAGCUCCCUUGACGACCCUCAUCUGGAGGACCAAACUGAAUGGAUGGAUUGCUUUGAACGGGGCACAAGGCAGAGUCGACCCAGGUUGUCUGUCUCUGUUUUUUGGCCCUGCGAGAGACUGGCCAGGGAGUACCUUCUGGGAUUGGCUGCAGUGAACCGUGACCCUCAUGUGGAUGAUAAAGCAGUGGACAAAGGAUGGAUGGGAGGAUCACUUUGACCUCCAUGUAGCGUAGCGUGACCUCUGCUCUCUCCUGGAAAACAUCUUCUUCAGGUGGACGGUGCUGGUGGACUUAACACAGGAGAUGCUGGUGUCUGCCAUUUUCAUCUGUCCACACUCUCUGUGUUCUCCAAGGGUAAAAUAAAAGCUGCCAGGGAAAUUGCUCACUGAGCCAGUUUCCUCUGUGAGCUGCGUCAUGGCUCUCAGCAGCAUCUCAAAUCCCCCUGUGACUCAAGGACACCAUCUGGUGGUGGAAGAGCAGAACUGCCAUUAAGAUUUUAAUCAAUUUUUUUUUGUCUGUGAUCUAUCUCGGGCAUCUGCAAAAGACACGCCUUUCCUGGAAGCACUUUCCUUUGAUACCCAAAUGAAACUUUUGUGCUUCACAAGCAGUUUGAUCUCUCAUGAUGCUGUGUGUGUGUGGACUAAUAAACUGUGAAGCGGAUGAAACAGAAGAUCAGACUGUCUUUAAAAAUCCUCACUAACUUUGCUCCUAAUCUCCCCCCUCAGAUAAUUCUCA